CUGUCUAUAUAAAUAUUUUGGAUUUGAAUAUUAAACUUUUUAGAUUGCUAACAAACAAUACAACUAACUAUUAUGUGGAACGAGUCAAGACAUAUUCCAACUCUAUGAUUGAUCUACCUAUGCAUUGGCCAAACCAAAAUAAUUCAAUGCACUAGGCCGAAUUAUAUUAAAAUUUUCAGGCCAAAAUAUAUAAAGAAAACAAUAGCUGUGGGUAUGUGGGAGCUUUAUUCGAACUCCAUGAACACAAAAGAGAGCAGUUCAAAGGAGCAAGACAGCAACUCCAUCGCUUCUAUCUCAGCAUUCUUUCUAAUCAUUACGAUGUUCCCUUUUGAACUCAUUCCAUCAAAGGCAACAUCUUUGAAUGCUUUGGGUUGGUAAUUAAGUAGACUUCUACCAAACUCAGAGCAGUGUUUUCACAAUUUGCGUACACACAGACAAAAACCAUCUGUUUAUCAUACAGAUCCACCAGUUUGAUUUAUAUUAUUUUUCAACUCCAAGAAAACUGGAACAUAAAUUAAUACUUCCAUCAUUCCAGAUAAACACAAACAACAAGUUGCAGCAUAUAUACCCCAGUUGCUGCAGAAGCUCCAUAAGCUCUGAUCCCAACAAAAAGAAGUUUAGUCAGACAAUUCGCAGAUCUUCAAAGCCAAAACCUUAAAUGAAUCAAAACAACGGAAUUAUCCGACGGUUGCCAUAACAACAGAUAAUCAUGAGUUCAACGGUCAGUAUAUUCGUCUCGCAACUCAAACUUUGACGUGACGUGACAACUAGUUAAGACAGUCACGACCUAAAUUUGGUGUAUUUUGAUUAAGUGAAAUGAGUCGAGACUUACUCUUGACUUUAAAUGUGGGAGCUUUAUUCGAACUCCAUGAACACAAAAACAGAGUUCAAAGGAGCAAGACAGCCACUCCAUCACUUCUAUCUCAGCAUUCAUUCUAACCAUUACGAUUAUUCCCUUUUCAUCUCAUUUCAUCAAUCAAAGGGAACAUCCUCAAUGCUUUUGGUAAUCGAACAUACAAUUUAAAAUUAUUUUUAAAAUUCAUCCGAAAGAUAAACAUGAACUAAUAUAUCUCCAUCACUCCAGAUAAACACAAACAACAAGUUGCAGCAGUUGCUACAGAAAGCCCCACAGAUGUGGAUCUCUGAAAGCCAAAACCUUAAAUGAAUCAAAAUUAAGACGGCAAGAAAGUAAUAAUAUUGAAAUCCAGGAUAAGAGAACAACUAUUAAUUAGAUCGCGGAAGAGAGGAGAUGGAGAUGGGAUGGGUGAUGACGAGCAAGGUUUAUCUUCUUGCUUGCUGCGAAUAUAUGCUGUGAAACGGAAUGAUCCGACGGCUUCCAUUGCAACAGAUAAUCA
This 1355-nucleotide long non-coding RNA is filed under the name Linum usitatissimum (flax). Its description in RNAcentral is "long non-coding RNA (LUSI_LNC003028)". Lineage: Eukaryota; Viridiplantae; Streptophyta; Magnoliopsida; Malpighiales; Linaceae. The record is from RNAcentral.